This 401-nucleotide ribosomal RNA is filed under the name uncultured bacterium. RNAcentral describes it as "bacterial SSU rRNA". It matches the Rfam family "Bacterial small subunit ribosomal RNA", at positions 359 to 776 of the family's 1533-position model. The record is from RNAcentral.
GAAUAUUGCGCAAUGGGCGAAAGCCUGACGCAGCAACGCCGCGUGCGGGAAGAAGGGCUUCGGCUCGUAAACCGCUUUUCUGUGGGAAGACAGCGACGGUACCGCAGGAAUAAGGCUCGGCUAACUACGUGCCAGCAGCCGCGGUAAAACGUAGGAGGCGAACGUUAGCCGGAUUUACUGGGCGCAAAGCGCGUGCAGGUGGUUGGCUAAGUCGGGCGUGAAAGCUCCCUGGCUCAACCGGGAGAGGUCGUGCGAUACUGGCCGACUGGAGACAGAGAGAGGCAAGUGGAAUUCCGGGUGUAGUGGUGAAAUGCGUAGAUAUCCGGAGGAACACCAGUGGCGAAGGCGGCUUGCUGGCUCUGUUCUGACACUCAGACGCGAAAGCAUGGGUAGCGAACGGG